AAAAACAUGUCUUCUUGAUAAUAUUUUGAAGUCUGUCCUGCUCGCUGAUUUCUUAUUGAAGAGCCGCGGUAUUUUGACCGUGCAAAGGUAGCAUAAUCAUUAGUCUCUUAAUUAGGGGCUGGUAUGAAUGGUUUGACGAGAAAUUAACUGUCUCUUGAUAAAUAUUAUAAUUUAACUUUUGAGUCAAAAGGCUCAAAUAUUUCUUUAGGACGAGAAGACCCUAUAGAGCUUUACAUUUAAUUUUUAUAUAUUUUUUAGGUUUUCUAUUUAUAUUUAAUGUUGAUGUUUUGUUGGGGUGACAUGAAGAAUAAUUAAACUCUUCAUUAUAAAAUCAUUAAUUUAUGUUUAAAUGAUCCAUAAUUUAUGAUCAAAAGAUUAAGUUACCUUAGGGAUAACAGCGUAAUUGUUUUUGAGAGUUCAUAUCAACAAAGCAGAUUGCGACCUCGAUGUUGGAUUAAGAUAAAAUUUGGGUGCAGAAGCUCAUUAAUUAGGUCUGUUCGACCUUUAAAUUCUUACGU
This 518-nucleotide ribosomal RNA is filed under the name Eucoptacra exigua. RNAcentral's name for it is "partial 16S ribosomal RNA". It matches the Rfam family "Bacterial large subunit ribosomal RNA", at positions 1809 to 2601 of the family's 2925-position model. The record is from RNAcentral. Lineage: Eukaryota; Metazoa; Arthropoda; Insecta; Orthoptera; Acrididae.